GCUGCUUACAAUUAUCUCUAUCUAUAAUGAACAUUGCCAUUAAAGCGGGUUGUUUGGCAUGCCACAAAACCAGGUUCAACCCUACAUUUUUUUUCUUAAAAUGUCCUGUACCAAGUCAGGAAAAUGGCCAUUGUUAUAUUAUAGUUCGUUUCUGUGUGUGUUACACAAUGUGUAUGUUGUGUUUCUGUUAUGUGUUCUCUUAUAUUUGAUGCGUUUCCCUCAGUUUUAGUUUGUAACCAGGAUUUGUUUACUUUCUCAGUCAAUUUGUGAGUUUCGAACAGCGAUAUACUACUGUUGCCUUU
RNAcentral lists this long non-coding RNA (302 nucleotides) under Mytilus galloprovincialis (Mediterranean mussel). Lineage: Eukaryota; Metazoa; Mollusca; Bivalvia; Mytilida; Mytilidae. The record is from RNAcentral.